ACGGCUGAGUAACGCGUGGGUGACGUACCUGUUGGUGGGGAAUAACUGCCCGAAAGGGGUGGCUAAUUCCGCAUAAGUCCUUCGGUUCAUACUGAAGGGGAAAGCUUCGCAAGAGGCGCCGAUGGAGCGGCCCGCGUCCGAUUAGCUUGUUGGUGGGGUAACGGCCUACCAAGGCGACGAUCGGUAGCUGGUCUUAGAGGAUGAUCAGCCAGACUGGGACUGAGACACGGCCCAG
This 235-nucleotide ribosomal RNA is filed under the name uncultured bacterium. RNAcentral describes it as "partial 16S ribosomal RNA". It matches the Rfam family "Bacterial small subunit ribosomal RNA", at positions 102 to 334 of the family's 1533-position model. The record is from RNAcentral.